Molecule: transfer RNA, 80 nt
Filed under: Penicillium italicum
Lineage: Eukaryota; Fungi; Ascomycota; Eurotiomycetes; Eurotiales; Aspergillaceae
Rfam family: tRNA
About the family: Transfer RNA (tRNA) molecules are approximately 80 nucleotides in length.
Source: Rfam by way of RNAcentral
GGUGCCAUGGUCUAGUGGUAUGACGAGACAUUGUGGUGUACUAUUCUGUCUUAGCCCUGGUUCGAUUCCGGGUGGCGCCA